AAUGAACGCUGGCGGCGUGCUUAACACAUGCAAGUCGAACGAGAACAGAGUAGCUUGCUAUUCUAAGUAAAGUGGCGCACGGGUGAGUAACGCGUGGAUAAUCUACCCCUGAAUUGGGAAUAACAUAGCGAAAGUUGUGCUAAUACCGAAUGACAUCGAUUUAACCUUGGUUUUUUCGAUCAAAGACAGCCUCUGCAUAUGCUGUUGUUUGGGGAUGAGUCCGCGUGUCAUUAGCUAGUUGGUAGGGUAAAGGCCUACCAAGGCUACGAUGACUAGCUGGUCUGAGAGGAUGAUCAGUCACACUGGAACUGAGACACGGUCCAGACUCCUACGGGAGGCAGCAGUGAGGAAUUUUGCGCAAUGGGGGCAACCCUGACGCAGCAACGCCGCGUGAGUGAAGAAGGCUUUCGGGUCGUAAAACUCUGUCAAAUGGGAAGAAUGAGAUGGUAAUGAAUAAGUGCCAUCAGUGACGGUACCAUUAGAGGAAGCACCGGCUAACUCCGUGCCAGCCGCCGCAGUAACAC
Molecule: ribosomal RNA, 524 nt
Filed under: uncultured bacterium
Lineage: Bacteria
Description: bacterial SSU rRNA
Rfam family: Bacterial small subunit ribosomal RNA
Source: RNAcentral